This is a long non-coding RNA of Chroicocephalus ridibundus (black-headed gull), 3983 nucleotides long. RefSeq lists it as uncharacterized. NCBI's taxonomy places the organism in Eukaryota, Metazoa, Chordata, Aves, Charadriiformes, Laridae. The record is from RefSeq and is a predicted model, not a curated record. The transcript is spliced from 3 exons.
ACUUCUACACCCUAUUUCUGGCGGGGUGGGAGGUGAGGGGGGUGUAGGGUAGAAUAUAAAAUCCAAUCGGUGGUAUUUAUUGUUAUUAUUUAUUAUUAUUUCGGAAGUGGCAGGGCUGCCUGUAAGCCGGGAGCUGAGAUCCGUAGCCUGCAUUUUCCAAAACAAAUGUUAAGCGCCUGCUUCACCUGCCAAGCUCCACAAGGCAAUAUAUAUAUGUACAAAAAUACACUCAGACAUGCACGGAUGUACUUAUAUACAUGUGUGUGUGUGUAUAUAUAUAUAUAUUCAUGCACACGCGCAUGUAGUGAGUGGGGUAGAUGGAGGACAAUAAAUGCCAGGCUGCUGUCACAGGGUGCAGCGAGCAGCUCUGACGUGCAAAAAUGUCCCUCUGGCUCCCCAUUUUUAGCAUUUUUAGCCGUCCCCUGCUCUGCCCGGCGGACACCUUCAAGGCUGUAAAACCAGAGGGUCGCAUCGGGGUCCCCGCCACUGCCCCCCUUCUCUUCCCCCCCUACGUCGGGGCGGCCCUUUUCCCGGGCCGGGCCGGCUACAAAGGGGAUGUGACCAGUCGCACCGGGACCCCCCCAGCCCUCAUCGUGCGUCCCGGCCCUGUUGUCCCCCGCCGCCCCCGCUGCCGGGCCAGGCCUCGGCAGCUGCCGGUGCCCAGCCAGGCCUCGUUUCCCAUUAGCGGUGCUGGGGCCUUUCCUCCCAGGCCUUUUUCUUCUUUUGCCCUUUUUCCCCUCCCCUCCUUUAUUUUUAUUUUUCACCUUUUCCCUCCCCAUCUCCCUGUCCCGUCCCGUUCCGUCUCCCCCCACCCCCCACCCCAGGGACAGACCUGAAAGACAACCAAGUUCUUUGAGGAGCGGAACACAAGAUGUGCGGGCGGGAGGUGGUGCUUUACGAGGGGAAGCGGUGGCCCCCUCCCCUGGGAAAGGGGGUCUCCGUUUCUAGGGGUGAAGCCCGGGCAUAUCCAACGGUGUCAUUAAUAAGGAACAGACUGACUCCAUCAACGGCGCUCUCCAUGUUUAGAGGCAUGACUGCUUGAAGCAAUUAGGCUCCCCAAUUAGCAUACUUCUCCUGACCCCAGCAGCACCACCAGGUCCUUACGUUAUCCAUCUCUUCAAAGUAGGGGAAAGCCAGAAGAAAACAUGCCUCCCAAGUGCCAGGGUGGCGAAACCAACACGCAAGCGGGCUACCAAAAUUACCCCUUUUGCCCUUAGAGCGGGGGGACGGAGGAGAGACGGGGGGGAGUAAAAAAAAUAAAAUAAACCAAGCCUCCUGAUGGCACCCCGCUGUCCGUGUUGCGGCAGCUUUGCUGUUUUCGGGCGUUUCGCGCUGAUUUCCAGCGUGUUCCCUCAUUCCUGCCCGAUAUCCCCCCCUCGCCCCCUCCCCGGCUUUCGGCAGGGCUCUGUGCGGGCGGGCAGAACCCGCAGCCGCGGGGGUGUCCCGGCGGGGGAAGGAGGGGGUCAUCCCGGGGGAUGCUCCCGAAAAGCCCCUUCGCUCGCCUCCCCCCGCCCAGCCCUCUGGGGACCACCAGGUGACUUUUAAGCACGGCCCGAUGGUUUUAAAUCCGUUCCCCCCCCCGCUCCCGCUGAGUGGGUUUCCCCAAAAGGUGACCGCAGGGGGUGUGUGAGGAUGGGGGGGAGGGGGGGGGACGGAUCCACGGAGCCGGUGCCCGAAGGUCCCGAUUCUGCAAAGCCCGCAGGGGGCUUCUGGGAGCAUCCCCUCCCUCCUCGCCUCCAAAAGCCAGUAUCAGCCACUGGCCCACCACGGGUAAAAAGACUCAUUUCCCACCCCCUCCCCCUGCCCUCCCCCCCCCGAAUUUUCCUCCUCCAGCCCUCCUGUAAACCCACGGAGGGGAUCCAGGGAGCCAGCGUUCAGCAGAUAGAGCCAUCCGCCCAGAGCUUCGCAGCACUGUGGAAGAAAAAUCUCUAUAAAACGAAAUAGGCAAUCAACUGAAAUCUAUCCUCUUUAAAUAAACUGAUUCCUUAGUAUUUUCCCAGUGUUGCUGUAAGUUGUUGUCUGUGAUGUCCCCCAGGGCUCUUUCCUCUGCUCUCUGAUUUGGUGUAUAAAAGCAGCUCUGAAUGAUGGAUUACUGUGUCAUUGCAGCCUGCGAAGGAUUAAUUUGUUUCAUUGAUUUCUCUUUAGGCAGAUUGCCAGAAUUCUCUGCUUCCCACCUUUCCCCGGGACUUCCAGCAGUAAUAGACAGUAAUAGCCUAAGACAAAUCAGCCCAUUCUUGUAAAAAUAGAAACACAAAAUCCUGAAGUCCCAGGAAAGCCAUAAAGAAGUUUUUCCCUUGUUGUGCUGUAAAUCCACUGAUUCUUAAAGCGAGCCCACCUUCUCUCCUCUCCCCACUCCUCUUUUACAAAAAAAAAAGGUUGCAGAGUCCUGGGGGGGUGUGUGUGUGCUUAACCUGAAGAGCAAUUUCAACAAGCAGUUGCAUGUGAAGGGUGGGCAUUUGACAGUCGGGGAGAAAUGUUUUGUUCAUGCUCAACAAGAGGGGUAGGAAUCACAGAAGGACUGAGUAAACCUCACAGUUCAUUCUUUCUUAAAAUCGCGGGGCCGCCUAUAGCUAAUCUAUUAUCGAUCCAUCUGCCUGUCUGGGGUAGUGAGAAGAAAUGCAGUUUGUGUCAGCUCCCGGAGCCACCCGUCUGACGUGGGGGUGGACCCUCCCAGACCAAUCCGUCUGCACCCUUUCAGGAUAACCAGGCCUUGAAGCACUGGGAUGUGGUGGGAAAAGGGAGCCGGGCACCCCUUGGGGUGCAGGUUGUGGGAGGGCGAGGGAAGGCGAGGAGAUCCCACGCCGUAGGUAGCCUCUUCUGCCCACAAAACCGCUCUUUUCAGACCCACUUUACCGACAGCAGACAUGGGUCAACCGUGCUAAUCUAUUUGUUUCCACAAUGCAGUGCUAAAAAAAUUGUAUUGAUUUAGUGUUCUCGAGUUAAACUUUAGGUGCAAUUAGUCCUAUAGUAAAAAGUGAUGUUGUCAUGUGCUAAUGUCUUUCCAGCUCAGGCUUCUGUAAAGCUGCGCCGUGCCGAAACAGCACUUUUAGAUAGCAGCGAGGGUAGAGAAGCAUUUAUUUCACCUCUGUAUCUGCCUUGCGAUGAGAGUAGCUCAAUAGCUACUUUCAAAGGGAAGGUAAAUUUAUCGUACUGGAUACCACAGAUCCACUGCAUUGCAAACCCAGGAUAUUCUGAAGUUACAGCCCUAUUAUAUUUUCUUUUUCCCUGCUCUCCGGGAGGAUGUUAGCCUGCUACUUCCUAUUUUAAUUUACUGUAAUUUCAGGUCGAAUCCAAGUACCAGUCCUUGGGUCACAGCAUGAUUUCCUUUAUAUCAUGCCAGAAAAUACGCUUUGCCCUGCCUAAGCAAUGUUCUUGUAUUUACUUGCGUGAGAUCCCUCUGUGGUGUGCAGAGUCUAACUUUUCCCUUCUCCACCUAAUGCGAUUUUUGAAGGUGCUGUAAUAGUAGUCAUAAAGAGGGUUAUGUGUUUGCUCCCGGGAAUCCCUAGAAAUCCCUGCGUUGUCCGGGGAAAGCCUGUGGCGUGGGUUAGCCUGCAGUGAGACAAGGGUGGCUGCCUCCAGGCACGGCAGCCUGGAAAACGCUGGUGUCCUGGGGAAUGCUGCGAUCUUCCCUUCAAAGGCUUCUCUGCUGUAACAGGGACCCCCCCCCUUUCUGGCAUAACACAGGCUCGUUUUGCCCAGCAUUCCUGCUCUCCUGAUGGUUUUCCACUGUCCAGCCACUUUGAAAGGAAAGGCACAAAAGGCAACAAGCGUUCACAUUUUUCCUGCCCGGGCAGCCGAGCCCCAGGGAGGCUUGGCUCUGAACGCGGGGCUCGUCCUGCCUGGCAGCAAACCACGCUCCCAAUCCCCUCUGCCCCUUCCUCCUCCCUGCGCCUUUUCAGCUGGCACAGGAGAAUCCUUCUGCUCCUCCGCCAGGCACUGAGGAAAGUUUUGCUCUUGGUAAAUAAAUGAUAACAAUAUUCUUG